ACCCCUGAGAGGGGAAUUCCUGGGAAGUAGCCGAUCCAGAGGGAAUGAAAUGUGCCUUUAUGUUGACAUGCUGUUAUUCAUGUUGAUCUGAAGAUGUUACAAAUGCUGUUUUGUGCUGGUCCCCACACUGCUGUUUGCCUCUACAACACAUUGCCUCACAAUGUCAUGUAUUUUAAUUGUUUCUUCCCCUAACAGGUGCCUGACACUGCACUGCCUUGUGCUUUGGUGUCAGUAACUUUGAAAUUGUUUACGGAAAAGCUCGUGGCUCCCACUGAUUUCAUCUGCUCUUGCAAUUUCGCUAUGAGUCAUCCAAUAUGUUGUAAACAAGAAAGGCUCGCCAAUUUUCCACUCAAUGGAAAAGUCCUGUAUGCUUUGAUAGCAAUACACCAGAGACAGCAUAUAAUGGAAAUGUCGUGGAGCACCAGCUCAAAAGCAGAGGAAAAUGGCUGAAGAAUUAACUCUCAAAAGAUAUUUUUCUUUCCUCCUUUUCCUAUUUUCCUUUUUUCUUUUUAAUGUAUUCUUUCUCUCUUUUUCUUUCCCUUUAAUAAUAUGCAUAUAAAAAAAGGCUUUCAAUCUCAAAUAGGC
This 585-nucleotide long non-coding RNA is filed under the name Cyanistes caeruleus (blue tit). RNAcentral's name for it is "lncRNA (ENSCCEG00000022621.1)". Lineage: Eukaryota; Metazoa; Chordata; Aves; Passeriformes; Paridae. The record is from RNAcentral.